Molecule: ribosomal RNA, 394 nt
Filed under: Paracercomonas sp.
Lineage: Eukaryota; Cercozoa; Cercomonadida; Cercomonadidae
Description: partial small subunit ribosomal RNA
Rfam family: Eukaryotic small subunit ribosomal RNA
Source: RNAcentral
AGCUCCAAUAGCGUAUAUUAAAGUUGUUGCAGUUAAAAAGCUCGUAGUUGGACUUCUGGUUUGGCGCGACCAGGCCGCGCCUUCGGGCUGUGGUACUGGAGCGCGCCUACCAUCCUUCUAGGCUGUUCUUGCCCCCCUUUUUGGGUGGUUUGCAAGAUGCACCUAGAUCUUUUACUUUGAAAAAAUUAGAGUGUUCAAAGCAGGCGUUUCGCUAUGAAUACAUUAGCAUGGAAUAAUGAUAUAGGACUCUUUUCUUAUUUCGUUGGUUUCUAAGGAUAGAGUAAUGAUUGAUAGGGAUAGUUGGGGGUGCUAGUACUCAUCGGCCAGAGGUGAAAUUCUUGGAUUCGAUGAAGACUAACUUAUGCGAAAGCAUUCACCAAGGAUGUCUUCUUUA